GCCGGGGUAGCUCAGCCUGGUUAGAGUGCCAGUUAAUUGGUAAACUCUAUCCGGUUCUUCCAAAAAAGGCAAUACUCAUAAUCUGGAGGUCGUGGGUUCGAAACCCAUCCCCGGCA
This 116-nucleotide transfer RNA is filed under the name Candidatus Nitrosarchaeum limnium BG20. It matches the Rfam family "tRNA". From Rfam's summary of the family: Transfer RNA (tRNA) molecules are approximately 80 nucleotides in length. Their secondary structure includes four short double-helical elements and three loops (D, anti-codon, and T loops). Further hydrogen bonds mediate the characteristic L-shaped molecular structure. tRNAs have two regions of fundamental functional importance: the anti-codon, which is responsible for specific mRNA codon recognition, and the 3' end, to which the tRNAs corresponding amino acid is attached (by aminoacyl-tRNA synthetases). tRNAs cope with the degeneracy of the genetic code in two manners: having more than one tRNA (with a specific anti-codon) for a particular amino acid; and 'wobble' base-pairing, i.e. permitting non-standard base-pairing at the 3rd anti-codon position. Lineage: Archaea; Thermoproteati; Nitrososphaerota; Nitrososphaeria; Nitrosopumilales; Nitrosopumilaceae. The record is from Rfam by way of RNAcentral. RNAcentral also lists the same sequence under 1 other name.